RNAcentral lists this ribosomal RNA (254 nucleotides) under uncultured bacterium. RNAcentral's name for it is "partial 16S ribosomal RNA". It matches the Rfam family "Bacterial small subunit ribosomal RNA", at positions 524 to 776 of the family's 1533-position model. The record is from RNAcentral.
UACGUAGGGGGCUAGCGUUGUCCGGAUUUAUUGGGCGUAAAGAGCGUGUAGGCGGCCUGGUAGGUCUGCUGUGAAAACUCGAGGCUCAACCUCGAGAUGUCGGCGGAAACCAUCUGGCUAGAGUCCGGAAGAGGAGAGUGGAAUUCCUGGUGUAGCAGUGAAAUGCGCAGAUAUCAGGAAGAACACCUAUGGCGAAGGCAGCUCUCUGGGACGGUACUGACGCUGAGACGCGAAAGCGUGGGGGAGCGAACAGG